UGGAGAGCUUGGUUGCACGCGGGCCUUGUGUAGGGGAGUGGAACUGAGGAGAAACUGCUACGGAAAAGUCUCUCAGGAGAAGUGUUUCUAUUGCUCCUUGCUGCUGCUGUUCUGUGAUCCAGUGAGUGAUGAAUGUGUCCUAAAGGUCUGCAGGAAGUCUAUAACAAAGAUUUUUAUGGAAUGUGGAUGUGAAAGAUACCAUGAUAGUGGCAAGAUUCCAUAAGUCUCUGAAAGGAAGAAGGAAAGCAUCCAAAUGGUUCACAUGGAAAGGAGCAAAUGUCCAGGCAAUCUUAGUUAUCCAAGGAACUGGAAUUGCACCCAGAAAUAUACAAGCAAUUAACUCCCCUUCUAUUCUGGCUCACUACUUCAUCUCUGAACGCUUUGUUGGCUCAUUUACAAUGGUGACAGGCAGCUUUAAUUAAGACAUAAAACUUGAA
This is an RNA transcript of Phasianus colchicus (ring-necked pheasant), 437 nucleotides long. RefSeq lists it as uncharacterized. NCBI's taxonomy places the organism in Eukaryota, Metazoa, Chordata, Aves, Galliformes, Phasianidae. The record is from RefSeq and is a predicted model, not a curated record.